UAUCGAACAAAAAGAGACAAAUAGUGGUACUGGAUUUGUUUGUUGGUCUAGUAUUUCAAAACUAAAACAGACUAAACCUGUAGAAAUAUUUUGGCAGAAUUUCUACACGAGGGUUCGAUGCCCUCCACCUCCACAA
RNAcentral lists this transfer-messenger RNA (136 nucleotides) under Minisyncoccota bacterium. RNAcentral's name for it is "partial transfer-messenger RNA". It matches the Rfam family "transfer-messenger RNA", at positions 228 to 374 of the family's 374-position model. From Rfam's summary of the family: Bacterial tmRNA, also known as 10Sa RNA or SsrA, is named for its dual tRNA and mRNA-like properties. The record is from RNAcentral. Lineage: Bacteria; Bacillati; Minisyncoccota.